This 319-nucleotide ribosomal RNA is filed under the name uncultured Bacteroidales bacterium. RNAcentral describes it as "bacterial SSU rRNA". It matches the Rfam family "Bacterial small subunit ribosomal RNA", at positions 28 to 339 of the family's 1533-position model. The record is from RNAcentral. Lineage: Bacteria; Pseudomonadati; Bacteroidota; Bacteroidia; Bacteroidales.
GAUGAACGCUAGCUACAGGCUUAACACAUGCAAGUCGAGGGGCAGCAUGAAUCAAGCUUGCUUGAUUUGAUGGCGACCGGCGCACGGGUGCGUAACGCGUAUCCAAUCUACCCACUGCUCGGGGAUAGCCUUGCGAAAGUAAGAUUAACACCCGAUGGUCUCACUGGGCCGCAUGGCCUUUUGAGUAAAGUUUUACGGCAGUGGAUGUGGAUGCGUCCGAUUAGCUGGUUGGCGGGGUAACGGCCCACCAAGGCGACGAUCGGUAGGGGUUCUGAGAGGAAGGUCCCCCACACUGGAACUGAGACACGGUCCAGACUCC